AGUGAACGCUGGCGGUGGGCCUAACACAUGCAAGUCGAACGGCAGCACAGUAAGAGCUUGCUCUUACGGGUGGCGAGUGGCGGGCGGGUGAGGAAUACAUCGGAAUCUACUUUUUCGUGGGGGUUAACGUAGGGAAACUUAAGAUAAUACCACAUACGCCCUACGGGUGAAAGCGGGGGAUCUUCUGACCUUGCGCGAUUGAAUGCGCCGAUGUCGGAUUAGCUAGUUGGCGGGGUAAAUGCCCACCAAGGCGACGAUCCGUAGCUGGUCUGAGAGGCUGGUCGGCGGCACGGGAGCGGAGACGCGGUCCAGGCGCCUGCGGGAGGGAGCAGUGGGGAAUGUGGGACAAUGGGCGCAAGCCUGAUCCAGCCAGACCGCGUGGGUGAAGGAGGCCUUCGGUUUGUAAAGCCCGUUUGUUGGGAAAGAAAAGCAGCAGGUUGAGACCCCGCUGUUCUGACGGUACCCAAAGAAGAAGCACCGGCUAACUUCGUG
Molecule: ribosomal RNA, 492 nt
Filed under: uncultured bacterium
Lineage: Bacteria
Description: partial 16S ribosomal RNA
Rfam family: Bacterial small subunit ribosomal RNA
Source: RNAcentral